UCCCGGGUGGCUCAGACGGUUAAGAAUCCGCCUGCAGUGCAGGAGACCCAGGUUCGAUCCCUGGAUCGGGAA
Molecule: transfer RNA, 72 nt
Filed under: Bos taurus (domestic cattle)
Lineage: Eukaryota; Metazoa; Chordata; Mammalia; Artiodactyla; Bovidae
Also listed under: 2 other names
Rfam family: tRNA
About the family: Transfer RNA (tRNA) molecules are approximately 80 nucleotides in length. Their secondary structure includes four short double-helical elements and three loops (D, anti-codon, and T loops). Further hydrogen bonds mediate the characteristic L-shaped molecular structure. tRNAs have two regions of fundamental functional importance: the anti-codon, which is responsible for specific mRNA codon recognition, and the 3' end, to which the tRNAs corresponding amino acid is attached (by aminoacyl-tRNA synthetases). tRNAs cope with the degeneracy of the genetic code in two manners: having more than one tRNA (with a specific anti-codon) for a particular amino acid; and 'wobble' base-pairing, i.e. permitting non-standard base-pairing at the 3rd anti-codon position.
Source: Rfam by way of RNAcentral